UAAUUAAUUAGGGAGAUCCCUAAUCCAAUAUGGCUGACUAAUGUCCUUAUAAGAAAAGGAAAUUUGGGCAUAGAUAUGUACAGAGGGAAGACCACAUGAAGAGACAGGGAGAAGAAGACAGAUGCCUGUACAAGCCAAAGAGAGAGGUUCCGUAAGAAACCAAGCCCUGUCAAUACCUUCUCAGAUUCCUAGCCUCCAGAACUGUGAAAAGAAAUAAAGUUUUAGGCACUUCAGUCUGUGGUCCUUGGUUACGGCAGCCCUAGCAAACCAAUAAGCAGGCAGACUUCAUUGACUGGACUGGCCCUGCCCCUCCUCUCACCACUGCCUCAUAAGGCUAUGCAAAUGCAUCAGACUUUACUAGGAACUGCAGCAAUUAAAAUACAGUAGUAAAAUCUCCAUCUAAAUUUGAGGCUUCCCAUGCUUCACGCUCCAUAUGCCAAGAGAGAAUUAUCUCCCAAUUUAAAACUCUCCACAGAAGGCCCUCUUGUGGCAUACGUGGGUUCCUAACUCCUUCCCUGCCUUCAAGUUUCUAGCUUCCUGAGUGCCUCCUUCCUCCAUUCUUCUCAGUAAGAGUCCAGCAUAGCUUUCUCAGAAAUCCCGGUGUUGUACCCACAAGAAUGGUUCUUGCUCAGGAACAAACCCAACCUCAGCAGGAGAUUUUUCUAAAUUCAUGUCAUUCUUAAAUAGUGCCCCCAAAAGGUAUUAAUAGGCCAGUUAGGGAUGGCCAUUGGCAUUCUAAGUCUAGCUAAACAAGGAGUGAUGGUAGUGGUGGUGGUAAUGGUGGUGGUGAUGGUGGUGGUGGUGGUGGAGAUGGCAGUUGUGACUGGAGUGGCGGCAGUGGUGAUGAAGCUGAGGGCCGUAGUGACAAUUGUGAUGGUGGAGAUUGUGGUAAUGGUGACGGUGGUAGUGAUGGUGGUGGUGGUGGUGGUAGUGGUAGUGGUGGUGCUAAUUGUGGUGUUGGUGAAGAUGGCAGUGGUGAUGAUGAAAGUGAGGGUGGUGGCGAAGAUGGUGAUGGUGGAGGUAGUGGUGAUGGUGGUGGUGGUUAUAUGCUUAUGAGUUGGGAGCGAGGGUUACUAUUCAUAUUUUUACACAACUGUCCAGGCUGGUAUGGGCCUUUAAGAACAAUCCUUUCUGAGAUCUUUCCAAUGGUAUGAAUUGCAGAUUUACCACUCAAAUUUCCCUAUUGUCUAAAGAGUAAAUAUUGAAUCAGAUGCAGAAAAACAAACCUUUCAGAGCAAAUAUUAAUUCUCAGAGCUAGUACAUUCAAAACAGAGAUUACAAGAUGCCCACGGGUCUGGGUAGGUAAAUAAUUCAGAGGAGCAGCAUGUGUGGCAGUGGUGGGGAUGUGGAGGGGGAGGGACAGUGGGUUUCACCUGCCCAUUCUUCUAAAGAGGCUCUGCCAGCAGCAGGUUUGGAAGCAGGUAAGCCCAGUCUCAGCAGGAAGUCUUAAUUUCUCUCCCCAAAACACAAAUUCACAUUUGCAUUCCACAUCUCUAUUACAUGUUGAUAACGCCAUCAUUUUUUUUAAACACUGUAAGUCAAUGAACCCAUUUUGCAACGUUUGAUAGAAAGGAAGAUUUAUUACUUGCCUCAUUCAUUUGUAAUCCUCUCAGAAUAAAUUAAGUAAUUCACGUAUUCUAUAGAAUGGAAUCGUUUCUUUUCUUCCCUUCACCUCACAUCUUUUAAAUGUACCCAUCUUUUAAAAUGUGCCCAUAAAAAUAAAUAAGAAAUGAGCUUGUGGAUGAGUCUUGAGGGCCUCUGUUGAUACUGGAAAUGGCCGUGUAGGAAGACUUGGUUAGGUUCUCAGCCGAACACUGUCCAUGCAGGCGUUCCUGUCUGAGCCAAGGAAAGAAGGGGCUUUGGAUCUUUGGAUGUAUAUCGAUGUGUGUAAGCAUCUCAUCUGGCAAUAGCUUUUUACUUUUUAACUUUCCUGAUUGACCUCCUAGUUAAUAAACCUCAGGCAAAUACUUAUAUAUAUAUUGGGAGAGUUGUCUGGAAUAAGUCUUUGAUUCCAUAAAUAACCAUGUCUAAUUUACCUGUUUGUGAAAGGUUGUGUUUGUUUUGUUUCUCCUUAAAUCUGAAUACUAAUUAGUAAAGCAGCACUAGAUGAAGCCAGUUCACUUGGAUCUGGGGAGGUCCUUCCACCCAGUGGCUCUGCCUGGCAAUGGAAAUGUGCGAGUUUGGACUGCUCUGCUCACCGAUGGUGCACAGGCAGGUAAUUGCUCUGGGCAGGUCACAGCUUGUUGAGCUGUGCAUACAGGCUGUAGGGAGCAGAGACUCUGCUUUGUUUUCACUUGUGAAUGGUUUCCAAAUGUGGUGCUAUGUUGUUGCCUCCUUUAAGUCUUCUGAGCCAAGCAGCUGUAACAUCCCCAAGCUCUGGCUGAGUUCUGGGAGUUGGUGGGAAUGAGCCUAUUACCCUGGAGCGUUGGUAUUGCAGAAAUGGCUUCUGUAUUCCCAGAGAAUAGGUUAGGAGUUUUUGGCAUGGCUCUGAACAAUCAUGAGAACUCCUGACUGUGAAUCUCCCAUUCUGGGAGGCCAGACUGGCUUCUUCCCCAUAGUGAAAUGAUGAUAAAUUGACCCUCUGCCCUUUACUUCCAUAGCUCCUUUUCCUUCUUUCUUUUAUGUUGCUUUCCUAGUUUAUUUUAUGCCAUACACUCUCUGAGCUACAGAAUGAUCUGUCCAGUCUAAUUUUAUUGAGGCCUUCAGAAACCAUUGAAGCUCAUGCGUAAUAUCAGAUGUGUUUGACCCAGUUGAGGACUUCAAGUCUGUCUUUGGGAAAAUUUAAAAUUAAUGACAGCAAGUUUAAAAUACAGAAUUGAACUCAAUUGCUUCUAUUAAUAAUCAGGAAAAGCUACUUUGGCAUGCUUCCUGCCUGCAGCAGACAGCUUUGUUCAAAUGAACUGUUGUUUCAAGACCUUUCAAGCGACUUGCUUUUGUGGCAAAUUCGAGGCUACCAACCUCAUCUAUUUUGUGGCAAGACUGGUUUAUUGAAAUACCAAGAGAGUUGUCAGCAUAAGGAUGGAGAACAUUGUCAAGAAAAUAAGUCAGGAGAGCCCUGCAUGUCAGAGCCAAGGAAAAUAGGUUAGAACAAUACCAGCCUUCAAAAUUUGGAAAACCUGUAAUAAAUUUGGUUGUUUAAUUCUUUGAGGUGUAGUACUGUAUGGAUAUUAUACAAUUAUUCAAUCACACAGUGAAAAAAACAAUCUCUUAUAAAACACUCUCCUAAUUGCGAUUGUCCCUUUACAUUUAUAUCAAACUAUUAUACCAUAAAUGUGGAUAGAGAUGGUUAGUGCCCAAGAUUUGGAGAGACAGACAGACAUAGCAACUCAUUAGCUGCAGGACCGGGAGCCAGAUUACUUCAUCUAAACCUCAGUCUCCUUACCUAUAAAAUUAGGACAAUAAUAAUACCUUUAUAAGAUUUGGUGAGGAUAAGCAUGCUGCACAUGCAUUGCACAUGUUAAGUGUUCAAUAUGUUGGCGAUUAUGAUUAGAAGCUUAAAAAUGUUCCAUGUGAUUCCUGAAGCAGUCAUCUUUGACAAAAUUCAGAACACUUAAGGCCUUAUAUUAUGCGUUGUAUUUAUAGUUUGGUUCAUAGUUGUUGAAUAUACUUAUGAUACUUUAAUAAGAUAUCAUCUAUGAAUGAGCCUACAGAAGUUCCUGGUGCAUGAUAUGCACUCAAAAAUAUUAAUUUUUUCUGCCUUUUCCUGAAGAAGAUCCCAAAAUUUCAGAGAUUUAUCAGCUUCAACUGGCAACCAUCUUCUUAAAUGGGCUGUAACCAUGUAAGUUGGAAUAGCUUAUUCUCCUAAGACAGGCUAAUUAGUCAACGAUGGGUCUGGCACAACUGUGAUGAAGGUCAUUGGAUCUCUGCUGUUGAAUCUACAGUCUCUCUCUCUGCCUGGCUUUCUAAACCAGCAUCUGAUAGGUAGACGGAGGCACCCAAGCUUCAGUAGCAGAGCAGUAGCAUUUCCAAGCAUCCAGAAGCUCUAUAAAUUAGUCUUAAGACCAGAAUGGGACAAAUAGCUAAUUUCCCCAUGUUAGCCAUGUUCAGGCCUAUCCAUCCUUAUCACUAACCCCUAAGCUUUUUCUCAGAAUCAUAAUCCCUUUAAGGUCUUAAAUUGUGUUUAUAUGUUAAUUCAGUCAGUGUGUUUAACAUGUAAUCACUUAAUGGGAAUUGUUUUUGUGUUUCAUUCGGAUGUCAAAACCUCAAUUGUGUAGAAAUAUGAAACUGGAUAUGAGCAUUCAGGAGAUGUUCUGUGGAGGUACUCCACAGCAAUGUUAAUAUUCAACAGCAGAUAUCAUCAUUUAAAAAUUAUUGCCCUGAGUAGUUUCAAACUUCACCUCUCCUUCAGGCUAUUGUGAGCUUUGCUUUGUUAGCAAGCUGCAAGAUGAGCUCCACUGAGAUUUCUUGUCCUGUGUCUUCCUGGCCCUACCUUCACUUUACCGAAGGUCACCCUUAGGAGGAAGGGCCAGAUUACUCCACGUUGUACCCCAGCACCUAAAACAAUUCCAGGGAUGCAGUAGGCACUUCAUGAAUGUUGGCUGAGUUGAAGUUUAGGGCUCCAGGUAACCCACAACUCAGAAAAUCCAUGCUUUGCAGGAUAUAGUGAUAUGUACUGUCCAGAGAUCCACAGAAUGUACACUAAGUACACAGAGGAGGUGCCAAGGUGAGAGGUUUGCAGAGCCCUUGGGGUGCCAGCUAAUAUGCAGAACAGGGAAGGGCUUUGUCCCACGGCAUCCCAGUCUGCACUGAGGUCGCCUGCCAACCCCAACUCCUAUUUGGAGCCUAGAAGCAGUUCCUAAAUCACAUUUACCUACCUGAAAUCUAUCAUGCUCGGGAGAUCAUAAAUACAUAAUUCAGAAGAAAGAUCUUAGAUUUUUCAUGAGGUGCCCAUUAUAAUUCCUGGCUUGCCACUCUAGACUCUUAAAGAUGCUAAUAAUUCUUAAAAUUAGAUGUGGGGCUAAGCUCCAGGCUAAUGUAUAUCUUGCUAUUAUGUAAUUGAAAUAAAAUCUACUUUUAGGUGACUACUUUCAAAUAAAAUAGAAAAAGGUCAAUAUUUUUUAAAAAUGUAUAAAAGUAUUCAUUAGUAGCUUCACAAAGCCUCUUAAGAAACUUUACAAAGACAAAGCACUUUAAGCAACCAGUACCACAAAGUAGACUGACCAAUCCAGUCUUCCGACUUACCCCAUAUUGAGAGUGGCCUAAUUUGUUCUUGUUUCAUUUUAAAAUAGAGGGCUGUGAAAACAAAGUUUGAUCCCAUACAAUACCAAAUGGCUGAAAUUUUCUCUUCAUGGUGUUUGGCAUUUUCCUUGUCACUGCAAAUAAUUUUGGCAAAGUCUCAACUUUGCAUGUCCCAUUUUUACCAUCCAAAGGUGUAAGAACCUCUACUCGUUAGGUGAAAAAGUCUGAAAGGCUGCAGUCAAAUUUAAAGCAAUAUUAUAGCAUUGUUGGCUGGAAGAUUUAACAGCAGUGGACAGACUUUUGAGGUAUGCAGGAAUUAGAGAUGUGCUUGUUUGAUGUGAGCCAGAACAGGAUGGGUUUUUUUAUUCAGCAUUUUUUACAACAGAAGGUGUUGUUCUGUCUCUAUCAGCAGUAGCCAGGGCAUGCUUGCUUCACCCCUGAAUGAAGAAUUAUAAAUAUCUCUGUGCAAGGCCAUGACAUACCCAUGAUGUGUGCUUUGAUACAUGCACAAAACCAUUUAUCCAUCUUCAAAAAUGAAAUGUCCAGAAGCAAGUCAUUUAAAAGUUCCUGUCAUGCCACAAGGACAUCAUCAUGUAAGGAAAAGUGAACUCAGUUUCUCAUGGUGUAAAGCAUGUACAUGCGUAGGUGAAAGGAAAAAAAUCUAUUCCAAAACUCCUCUUUUAGAAAUUACAUAGUGCCUAUGGUAGGAUUUUUAAAAAAUAGAAUUAUUUUCAAUUAUA
Molecule: long non-coding RNA, 5918 nt
Organism: Sapajus apella (tufted capuchin)
Lineage: Eukaryota; Metazoa; Chordata; Mammalia; Primates; Cebidae
Exons: 2
Source: RefSeq, a predicted model, not a curated record